This 2274-nucleotide long non-coding RNA is filed under the name Triticum aestivum (bread wheat). RNAcentral's name for it is "long non-coding RNA (TAES_LNC007509)". Lineage: Eukaryota; Viridiplantae; Streptophyta; Magnoliopsida; Poales; Poaceae. The record is from RNAcentral.
GGACUCGAUACAAUCCACGAGUGUCUCCUCCAUCUUCCUUGGUUUCCACCCUAAAUUCUUCAGCUUGUCCGAAGUGACUCCAACGUUAAAGUCCACAUCAACCAUCCUGCCAACCCAAAAUUUCGUAAUGAAAAUCCUUCGUAGUAUAUGAUAAGCAAGCUAUGACAUGGUGUUGAUAGUCUUGAUGCCAUGACACUUACUUGUCUGCAUAAGUGUAGCUAGGGUACAUGUUCUUCAUGAUUGCCAGCAAAUCCUUUAGGUCCACUUGGUCCAGUGAGCAUAUGUAUCUCUCAGAUGGCCCUGCCUUGUUGUACAACAGGAGCAAUGCGUCGGUAACAUCGCGAACGUCUACGAUGGGAAAGAACUUGUUGUUCAUCAUGUCAGGGCCUCCUGCGAUCGGACAUAUGAUGGAACUACAUUAGGCAUAAGGAUGUGUAUUUUAAAAGGUCAUUCUCUGAACUUCAUUAAAACCGGGGGUGUCUUAUUACACUAUUAAUAUAAAAGCCGAGGAGCUCCUCCGACGUCAAUUUUUGUUCUGAACUUCAUCGCUCUGCUGCACUUCGACAACAAAAACAGCAAAAUGGAAGGAAAACAACCGGCUUUGGUUUCCAAAAGUACUAACCACUAACCACAUGUGAUGUGUAGGGCUGGAAUUCGAGCCGAGUCGAGCCAGCUCGGCUCGACUCGCUAGAGCUCGUUUCGUUAACGAGCUAGCUCGACUCGACUCGUUGUUAUAACGAGCUCAAAUCCAAGAUUGGCUCGACUCGUAUAACUCGCAAGCUGGCUCUUUUAGCUUGUUAAGCUCAUUAAAGAUAUGAACAUAAAACGCUCAUAUAUUAUAAAAUGACUAUGUAUAUAUUAAACAUAUAUAUCACUAAACAAUAGUAAUUUGCUUGUAACGCAUGAGUCUGGGCCUUCAACGGCUAGGCCUUGUGUUGUGUGCCUGGGACAUAGGGUGCUGAAUGGCUGAUCUUUUUUUGUAUUGGGAGUGGCUGAUCUUUUGUACCGAGCCUAACGAGUUACACGAGUACUCGUGAGAUUGGCUCGUUUAACUUGGUCUAUAAACGAUCUUAAACUAAAGCUCGGCUUGCCUCGUUAUUCUUCGAGUUCGAGCCGAUUCGAGCCGAGUCACGAGCUACUCAUUUAGCUCGCGAGCUUCGAGCUUUUUUUCCAGCCCCAGUGAUGUGCAAUGUACAAAAUGAUUAUGUAUCCUUGUGAUAGAUGAGCUGAGGAGUGGAACCUUUUAUCAUGUAGACGAGGACCUUGCUGCUGGUAUUGACCGCCACAUGCUGCAAUAGAGGGCCGAAGACCAGACCAGGGCAAAGUGCGACGACGUGCAGCCCGUUCUUCUCUCCGUAUUCCAGGGCCGAAGACCGGACUAUCCAGACGGUUAAAUUUUGUGGAGCUUGCUUAAUGUCCUAACAUGCUUGGAUGUAUGAGGAAUAAGAUUUUACCUUGGAUAUGACCAUUUGUGUGAUUUAUUUGUAUGCAUGGUAGCAUGGGGGGACUAUCCAGACGGUUAAAUUUUGUGGAGCUUGCUUAAUGUCCUAACAUGCUCGGAUGUAUGAGGAAUAAGAUUUGAUCUUGGAUAUGACCAUUUGUGUGAUUUAUUUGUAUGCAUUGUAGCCCGUAGCAACGCACGGGUAUACUACUAGUGUUCAUAACUCUGCAGUCACUGCUUUUAGAGUACUCCUCCAGAGUCCGCUUUCUCUUGACGGAAGUGAGCACAAAUGCACAAUUUUUACAUUUGCAUCCAUCCUGAAUGGACUAGUGGAGGAGUCGAGAAAUAGAGACCUAACCCGUGCUUAUUUUUGCAAAACACAUUUCAUGAUGUUUCAGGCCAAAUGCAGAAUCAAUGGCACAAUUAUGGGAUCAUUCUCAUUCCUGGAUAGGCGGCAUUCGGUAGAUGAAUGGAAGCCGGCAUGGUUCUUCGUCUGUAACCCCAAGAAGCCCUGCUUUUUCAUAGGACUCGAUACAAUCCACGAGUGUCUCCUCCAUCUUCCUUGGUUUCCACCCUAAAUUGUUCAGCUUGUCCGAAGUGACUCCGACGUUAAAGUCCACAUCAACCAUCCUGCCAACCCAAAAUUUCGUAAUGAAAAUCCUUCGUAGUAUAUGAUAAGCAAGCUAUGACAUGGUGUUGAUAGUCUUGAUGCCAUGGCACUUACUUGUCUGCAUAAGUGUAGCUAGGGUACAUGUUCUUCAUGAUUGCCAGCAAAUCCUUUAGGUCCAUUUGGUCCAGUGAGCAUAUGUAUCUCUCAGAUGGCCCUGCCUUGU